GGGCUGCUGGAGUUCUCAGGCGGCUCUGAGGCUGCCAGCUGGCCAUUCCUGCCCUCUGCCAUUCUUGUGAAUUUCAACAUGUAUCUGACCUUUCAGAACUCAGUUUGUGUUAGUGAUUCUGAACUUGAAGCCUGGGGAUACUCAGUUUUAUCUUGCUAUCCUUUACACUUGUCUAUGUAGCUUUGAGAAUUAUCUAGAGAGAUUCAGUAUGUGAGCUUUAAAAGAUAUUUGAUAUUUUUAGCACAUUUGCCCAUCAUAGAAAUUGAGACUAGCAGACCAUUUCCUGGGGGGGAAAUGAUUUAGCUGUACUAUGAUUUUGAGUUUGUUAAUAAUAAGCUAUAGUUUCCAUGACUUUAGUAUCAUUAAAAUUCACUUUAAAUAAUUCACAUUUCUGCUAUGCAGUUAUUGCUAUUACAUAGACCAGAUAAUGCUAUAAGGAAAUACUUAAGGGUUUUCUUAUUGAACACUGCUAUUAAAGCUGUAGCAAGCUCUUCAGGGUACACAGUUGUGCUUGAGAAAAUGUGAUUUGCAGAUUUUAUGCUGCGGAGGCAUUUUACUGGUUGUAAUCAGUAUUACGUUUGUCAUAAUUAUAACUGGCAUUCCUUUGCAGUUGAUAGUGUUCUCUGUUUUUCAGGUCCUCAUGAGCUGGAGUAUGCAAAACCGUGUUUGUUCGUUUUGAGAUUUGAGGAAAUAUGAGUUUCACCCCUCAUGUGGUGUAGAUUUAUAAAGGCUAAGUGGGCCCUUGCUACUUGCAUGUGUGAAACCAGGAACUGUGCUCUUUCUGCUUUAUUAGUAGCCUAUUAUGCCAGAGGGGAUCUGACUGCAGCAUCUGAGCAAUCAAAACUAUUCCUGUAACUCCUGGAAUGAAUAGAAUGCAUCCAAAACUUCAUGCCGGGACAGUCUUUUCUAGUAGCGCCCUGUUUUUUUGGAGAGAGCCUAACAGGAAAGAGUUUCAAUUUAGACCUCUAUUAGAUGUCUGCCAUGUUUACUGAACAUGAGGCUCUUAUUCUGGGCCUCCAUGGGAAACACAUUUUCCCCGGCAUUUCUUUAAUCUCAGCUAGAUAGGUGGUUAGGAGGCAGAGAUCAAAAACUGACACUUCAGGAGUUUCCCUUUUGUUAGACUCAAAGGAGGGCUGCACCAAAGUGGCAAGAAUUGGUGGGUGUGCAUUUUAGUUGCAGAAUCUCUUCUGUAACUGUGCAGGAAUGUGACACACUCACUGGGCAGCAGAAAUAUUUAAAGAAACUGAGUUAGUUAAAAAAUGCCUACCAAGCAAAUGUUGAACUUGAGGAGGACUGGCAGUCUUCCAGCCCUGUCGGAGAACAUACUGAUACUUUCCCAAGAAUAACAGCAUAGUGGGAUGCCUAAACUAAUUUGCAUAAGAACACUUCUGCAUCCGGAUCCUGCUAAAACUUUGUCCAGGUCUACAGAAGAGAUGGAAAGUUUCAGACAUGCAAGUAGGGGUGGCUGAAUCUAUCCAUUUCUCUUUCUCUCUAUUUCUCACUUUACCUGUUACUUUUCAUUUUACGUUCAGUUGUCCACAUUUCCAUAUUAGUUUGUGAAUUUCUUUUCUCAUGAAAAUUCAUCAGCAUUUCAGUUCAAAUUUCUCCUAGCAUGCACAAUUUCCCUUAAUAUAAUGCAUCAUGGUAUGUUAUUUUGACUUGUAUAUGCAUUUGUAUGCAUGCAUUUUCGUACACAUUACUUGGCUAGAGAACUGCAUUGCAAAUUUCGAAAAGUGUGAAUUUUGAAAGAUGGCUGUGUUUUUUCAGUAUUGUUUUGGAAAGUGUGAAUUAGAGAACUUCAUAUUUAAAUGCAAACUGAGCCAAAUUUCUAUCCCAUCUCAACAUUCAAGACAGUUCAAUUAACAGAACCGUGUUCUUAUAUGGUUGAGCUUCUUGCAUGGUCAAUUGUUCUUCAAGUCAGGAGUUCACCAUAUGUCUCCCUAACCUUGGCAAUUUUACAGGGCAAUGUUCAUAUGGAUAAAAAUGUUGUUGAAUAAAAUUUCCAGAUAUAUUGAGCACAACCUAGCCUCUCUUUCACAUUGAGCAUGAAUGUUUUGCUAUUAUUGGAGGAAAAUUUUGAAGCUGCUGGUGGUAUCUCAGGAUAGUGGUGGAUUAGUGUGGUUU
RNAcentral lists this long non-coding RNA (2124 nucleotides) under Podarcis lilfordi (Lilford's wall lizard). The record is from RNAcentral. Lineage: Eukaryota; Metazoa; Chordata; Lepidosauria; Squamata; Lacertidae.